GGAGUUAGCCGGUGCUUCUUCUGUGAGUGAUGUCCUUCCUGCCGGUUAUUGACCCGCAGGCCUUCUUCCUCACUGAAAGUGCUUUACAACCCGAAGGCCUUCUUCACACACGCGGCAUGGCUGGAUCAGGGUUGCCCCCAUUGUCCAAUAUUCCCCACUGCUGCCUCCCGUAGGAGUCUGGGCCGUGUCUCAGUCCCAGUGUGGCUGAUCAUCCUCUCAGACCAGCUACGGAUCGUCGCCUUGGUGAGCCGUUACCUCACCAACCAGCUAAUCCGACAUAGGCUCAUCCGAUAGCGCGAGGCCCGAAGGUCCCCCGCUUUCCCCCGUAGGGCGUAUGCGGUAUUAGCCUGGGUUUCCCCAGGUUAUCCCCCACUACCGGGCAGAUUCCUAUGCAUUACUCACCCGUCCGCCGCUCGCCACCAGGGAGCAAGCUCCCCGUGCUGCCGCUCGACUUGCAUGUGUUAGGCCUGCCGCCAGCGUUCAAUCUGAGCCAGGAUCGAAACUCUGA
This 508-nucleotide ribosomal RNA is filed under the name uncultured bacterium. RNAcentral describes it as "partial 16S ribosomal RNA". The record is from RNAcentral.